This 427-nucleotide ribosomal RNA is filed under the name uncultured bacterium. RNAcentral's name for it is "partial 16S ribosomal RNA". It matches the Rfam family "Bacterial small subunit ribosomal RNA", at positions 355 to 774 of the family's 1533-position model. The record is from RNAcentral.
UGGGGAAUAUUGGACAAUGGGCGAAAGCCUGAUCCAGCCAUGCCGCGUGUGUGAAGAAGGUCUUCGGAUUGUAAAGCACUUUAAGUUGGGAGGAAGGGCAUUAACCUAAUACGUUAGUGUUUUGACGUUACCGACAGAAUAAGCACCGGCUAACUCUGUGCCAGCAGCCGCGGUAAUACAGAGGGUGCAAGCGUUAAUCGGAAUUACUGGGCGUAAAGCGCGCGUAGGGGGGUUGUUAAGUUGGAUGUGAAAGCCCCGGGCUCAACCUGGGAACUGCAUCCAAAACUGGCAAGCUAGAGUACGGUAGAGGGUGGUGGAAUUUCCUGUGUAGCGGUGAAAUGCGUAGAUAUAGGAAGGAACACCAGUGGCGAAGGCGACCACCUGGACUGAUACUGACACUGAGGUGCGAAAGCGUGGGGAGCAAACA